AAAUUGAAGAGUUUGAUCAUGGCUCAGAUUGAACGCUGGCGGCAGGCCUAACACAUGCAAGUCGAACGGUAACAGGAAACAGCUUGCUGUUUCGCUGACGAGUGGCGGACGGGUGAGUAAUGUCUGGGAAACUGCCUGAUGGAGGGGGAUAACUACUGGAAACGGUAGCUAAUACCGCAUAACGUCGCAAGACCAAAGAGGGGGACCUUCGGGCCUCUUGCACAUCGGAUGUGCCCAGAUGGGAUUAGCUUGUUGGUGGGGUAACGGCUCACC
This 273-nucleotide ribosomal RNA is filed under the name Escherichia coli. RNAcentral describes it as "partial 16S ribosomal RNA". It matches the Rfam family "Bacterial small subunit ribosomal RNA", at positions 1 to 269 of the family's 1533-position model. The record is from RNAcentral. Lineage: Bacteria; Pseudomonadati; Pseudomonadota; Gammaproteobacteria; Enterobacterales; Enterobacteriaceae.